GAUGAAGAACGUAGUGAAAUGCGAUAAGUAAUGUGAAUUGCAGAAUUCAGUGAAUCAUCGAAUCUUUGAACGCACAUUGCGCCCGCCAGUAUUCUGGCGGGCAUGCCUGUUCGAGCGUCAUUUCAACCAUCAAGCCCCCGGCUUGUGUUGGGGACCUGCGGCUGCCGCAGGCCCUGAAAAGCAGUGGCGGGCUCGCUGUCACACCGAGCGUAGUAGAUUUCAUCUCGCUCAGGGCGUGCUGCGGGUUCCGCCCGUUAAACCACCUUCAUAACCCAAGGUUGACCUCGGAUCAGGUAGGAAGACCCGCUGAACUUAAGCAUAUCAAUAAGCGGAGGA
RNAcentral lists this unclassified non-coding RNA (336 nucleotides) under soil metagenome. RNAcentral's name for it is "partial contains 5.8S ribosomal RNA, internal transcribed spacer 2, and large subunit ribosomal RNA". The stretch from base 1 to 120 matches the Rfam family "5.8S ribosomal RNA", at positions 35 to 154 of the family's 154-position model. The record is from RNAcentral.